This 87-nucleotide transfer RNA is filed under the name Pseudomonadales bacterium. Its description in RNAcentral is "tRNA-Leu". It matches the Rfam family "tRNA". From Rfam's summary of the family: Transfer RNA (tRNA) molecules are approximately 80 nucleotides in length. Their secondary structure includes four short double-helical elements and three loops (D, anti-codon, and T loops). Further hydrogen bonds mediate the characteristic L-shaped molecular structure. tRNAs have two regions of fundamental functional importance: the anti-codon, which is responsible for specific mRNA codon recognition, and the 3' end, to which the tRNAs corresponding amino acid is attached (by aminoacyl-tRNA synthetases). tRNAs cope with the degeneracy of the genetic code in two manners: having more than one tRNA (with a specific anti-codon) for a particular amino acid; and 'wobble' base-pairing, i.e. permitting non-standard base-pairing at the 3rd anti-codon position. RNAcentral also lists the same sequence under 2 other names. Lineage: Bacteria; Pseudomonadati; Pseudomonadota; Gammaproteobacteria; Pseudomonadales. The record is from RNAcentral.
GCCUGGGUGGCGAAACUGGUAGACGCGCCGGAUUCAAAAUCCGGUUCCUUAACGGGAGUGUCGGUUCGAGUCCGACCCCAGGUACCA